This 523-nucleotide ribosomal RNA is filed under the name uncultured bacterium. Its description in RNAcentral is "partial 16S ribosomal RNA". It matches the Rfam family "Bacterial small subunit ribosomal RNA", at positions 28 to 523 of the family's 1533-position model. The record is from RNAcentral.
GACGAACGCUGGCGGCGUGCCUAAUACAUGCAAGUCGAACGCUUUUUCUUUCACCGGAGCUUGUUCCACCGAAAGAAAAAGAGUGGCGAACGGGUGAGUAACACGUGGGUAACCUGCCCAUCAGAAGGGGAUAACACUUGGAAACAGGUGCUAAUACCGUAUAACAAUUGAAACCGCAUGGUUUCGAUUUGAAAGGCGCUUUUGCGUCACUGAUGGAUGGACCCGCGGUGCAUUAGCUAGUUGGUGAGGUAACGGCUCACCAAGGCAACGAUGCAUAGCCGACCUGAGAGGGUGAUCGGCCACAUUGGGACUGAGACACGGCCCAAACUCCUACGGGAGGCAGCAGUAGGGAAUCUUCGGCAAUGGACGAAAGUCUGACCGAGCAACGCCGCGUGAGUGAAGAAGGUUUUCGGAUCGUAAAACUCUGUUGUUAGAGAAGAACAAGGAUGAGAGUAAAAUGUUCAUCCCUUGACGGUAUCUAACCAGAAAGCCACGGCUAACUACGUGCCAGCCGCCGCAGUAA